CCUACGGGUGGCAGCAGUGGGGAAUAUUGGGCAAUGGGCGCAAGCCUGACCCAGCAACGCCGCGUGAAGGAAGAAGGCUUUCGGGUUGUAAACUUCUUUUCUGAGGGACGAAGAAAGUGACGGUACCUCAGGAAUAAGCAACGGCUAACUCCGUGCCAGCAGCCGCGGUAAUACGGGGGGGGCAAGCGUUAUCCGGAUUUAUUGGGUUUAAAGGGCGUGUAGGCGGGAAAGCAAGUCAGAUGUGAAAACUAAGGGCUCAACCCUGAGCCGGCCUUUGAAACUGUUUUUCUUGAGUGCUGGAGAGGCAAUCGGAAUGCCGUGUGUAGCGGUGAAAUGCGUAGAUAUCCGGAAGAACACCAGUGGCGAAGGCAGAUUGCUGGACCGUAACUGACGCUGAUGCGCGAAAGCGUGGGUAGCAAACAGGAUUAGAUACCCCUGUAGUC
Molecule: ribosomal RNA, 443 nt
Filed under: uncultured bacterium
Lineage: Bacteria
Description: partial 16S ribosomal RNA
Rfam family: Bacterial small subunit ribosomal RNA
Source: RNAcentral